UCUUGUUUUACUUAUUAAUUUGCAAUUUAAUUAUAUCUAUAUUGGCACAAAAUUUAACAAUACAAAAACUUGCAUUUAUUAAUAAAUACGACUCAUCAUUGUAUGAGUUGAUACGAAUUGAAAUAACCACGUGUUUCCGCUGAGGUACCUGUAAACAACAUGAUCCGAAAUCUGAACGUCAAUUUUCAUGAUUAUUUCACGACGAAGACCAUCACAUCAAUGAAUCGAAUAAUACGGACAUGCCUUUGGUAUUAGCAGGGUGCUUUCACCAUAUGCAACAAUACUUUCAUCUGUGAACAUGGUGAAUACCCACUUUCUAAGCCCACCAUGAACUACGAAGGUCAAUUAAUAUGUAAGGACACCAAUGAACAGACACUUUCCAGUUAUCGUACAUCAUAUACAUGGGUGGUCAAACUCACUGGAUGGUUUAUCAACACUCCCAUGCUCACGAACAGCCUUGCCCCAGGAAUUUUGCCCUGAAGUAACAUUGCAGUCUGUUGUCUCCUUUCUUUUUACAAACCUGGCAGCCAUGCAGGAUAGAAGCUGAUCACUUGUACUUGACUGCAAAUAAUAAUAUCUUGGACAAGUCAAAGAAUUUCCUCCAAUCUUACAGAGAAAUGGCAGUUGAUAAAAGAUUGGUGGACACAAAGUAAAAGUGCUCUUCAACAUUUUGUUGAAGAUUUCAGUCUGAUUUGGAAUUCAUCUUGCAGUAUUUCUGGAUUUGUAUAUUUGGAUAUAAGCAUCAGUUUUUCAACUUAUUGACUAAACUGUUUUGGGUUAAAUAUUGCCAAUGCUAUCUAUUAUUAUUAUUAUUUCCCUCCAAGAUAACAUGUCAAGUCUUAAUUGUACCCCUUAAGCUCUGUUAUACCAGAAAAAUCUUGUAAUGAAAUCAUUUAGUUUUUUUUUCUUGUUAGAUUACAUCCAUGAAAAUAAAGAUUAUUUUUAAUGGCAUCAAGGGAAUGGAUUUCUUGUUUCACAAAAAGAUUGUAAACAUGUUUUGCUAGGGGUUUGUAAGAAGCAGACCAGAAUUCUUUGCUUGCAAAUUUUGACGUUCGCCAU
Molecule: long non-coding RNA, 1059 nt
Organism: Saccostrea cuccullata (small rock oyster)
Lineage: Eukaryota; Metazoa; Mollusca; Bivalvia; Ostreida; Ostreidae
Exons: 4
Source: RefSeq, a predicted model, not a curated record